This 363-nucleotide RNase P RNA is filed under the name Tannerellaceae bacterium. Its description in RNAcentral is "RNase P RNA component class A". It matches the Rfam family "Bacterial RNase P class A". Rfam says of the family: Ribonuclease P (RNase P) is a ubiquitous endoribonuclease, found in archaea, bacteria and eukarya as well as chloroplasts and mitochondria. The record is from RNAcentral. Lineage: Bacteria; Pseudomonadati; Bacteroidota; Bacteroidia; Bacteroidales; Tannerellaceae.
GCAGUCUGCCGGUCUGUCGCUCAAUAUUGUUAUUGAGAGGAAAGUCCGGGCAACACAGAGCUCCAUACUUCCUAACGGGAAGUUGUCUGCAAGGGCAAAGUAACGUAACAGAAAAUAACCGUUCCGCAUAAAUGUGGAAUAAGGGUGAAAAGGCGAGGUAAAAGCUCACCGGGUAUUAUAGCAAUAUGGUAUGCCGUACGUCUUAUGGGUUGCGAGGUCAUGUACACCGGCGUAUGUAGGGUUGCUCGCCUGAUGCCGGGGGGUAGACCGCUGGAUUUUACCGGCGACGGUAAAACAAGAUAAAUGGCAGACGCCUGUGCUAAAGCGCAGGUACUGAACCCGGCUUACAGGCAGACUGCGGUU